GACGAACGCUGGCGGCGUGCCUAAUACAUGCAAGUAGAACGCAGUUGCGAACGGGUGAGUAACGCGUAGGUAACUGCCUCAUAGCGGGGGAUAACUAUUGGAAACGAUAGCUAAUACAGCAUACUGUGAGAUGGACCUGCGUUGUAUUAGUUAGUUGGUGGGGUAAAGGCUCACCAAGGCGACGAUACAUAGCCGGGCUGAGAGGGUGAGCGGCCACACUGGGACUGGGACACGGCCCAGACUCCUACGGGAGGCAGCAGUAGGGAAUCUUCCGCAAUGGACGGAAGUCUGACCGAGCAACGCCGCGUGAGUGAUGACGGCUUUCGGGUUGUAAAGCUCUGUUGUUCGGGAAGCGGUACCGAACUAGAAAGCCACGGCUAACUACGUGCCAGCCGCCGCGGUAAUAC
Molecule: ribosomal RNA, 407 nt
Filed under: uncultured bacterium
Lineage: Bacteria
Description: partial 16S ribosomal RNA
Rfam family: Bacterial small subunit ribosomal RNA
Source: RNAcentral